This is a long non-coding RNA of Panicum hallii, 526 nucleotides long. RefSeq lists it as uncharacterized. The transcript has 3 exons. Lineage: Eukaryota; Viridiplantae; Streptophyta; Magnoliopsida; Poales; Poaceae. The record is from RefSeq and is a predicted model, not a curated record.
GAUGACUCCUGCAGCAACCAAUCCAGCAAAUCGUCGACUGAUUAGGCCACAUGGGGAUUGGCAGUGGGACGAUAUUUGUUGGGAGGGAAAAAAUAGGUUAAGACCUGUGAAUGCAACAUUGGGAACACUUUGUCGGUUUCACUACCCAGGAAUGGUCACAGUUGGAGGUGUGCUUCAGCCUGCAUUGAAGUGGGAGCAUUAUAAGCUGCAAUCGGAUGACCAGGGCGUCACGACGGCAGCGAGAGUUUGGAAUGACUUUUGGGAGAGGUAUCGUUUGCCGGAGGAGGAGGAGCAGUGCCUACAAGAUAGGGCUCGUUCUGUGUUUGACAAGGCAGCGACGAAGGUGGUGAGGGACAUGAUGUCCAAUGCUCGUAUACAGUGCGUUUGUUUGUACUACAAGAAAAUAAAGCUGCAACACAUGAACAAGAAAUUGGGUGCUUCUGAGAUAUAUCUUCGAGAGGAUGAGUACCUUGAAGCUGAUAUUAGCGGUUUGCCUUGGUUGAGAAAGUGUCCGGAUGCUUGGCGA